CAGAUGCUAAUACCGGGAUAACAACAGAUGAUGCCCUAUCAACUGUUUUAAGAGAUGGUUCUGCUAUCACUCUUGGGAUGGGACCCUGCGGUGCAUUAGCUAGUUGGUAGGGUAACGGCCUACCAAGGCGAUGAUGCAUAGCCGAGUUGAGAGACUGAUCGGCCACAUUGGGACUGAGACACGGCCCAAACUCCUACGGGAGGCAGCAGUAGGGAAUCUUCCACAAUGGACGCAAGUCUGAUGGAGCAACGCCGCGUGAGUGAAGAAGGGUUUCGGCUCGUAAAGCUCUGUUGUUGGUGAAGAAGGACGAGGGGUAGUAACUGUACCUUUGUUUGACGGUAAUCAAUUAGAAAGUCACGGCUAACUACGUGCCAGCAGCCGCGGUAAU
Molecule: ribosomal RNA, 388 nt
Filed under: uncultured Lactobacillus sp.
Lineage: Bacteria; Bacillati; Bacillota; Bacilli; Lactobacillales; Lactobacillaceae
Description: bacterial SSU rRNA
Rfam family: Bacterial small subunit ribosomal RNA
Source: RNAcentral